ACCGCAUAGCUGGGGAGCUGGCGCACGCUGGCUGAGAGGGGAGAAGCAUCCCGACCCAUACACCUGAUCUGGAUAAUGCCAGCGUAGGAACCGUAUGCAGCCGCAUCA
RNAcentral lists this non-coding RNA (108 nucleotides) under Paenibacillaceae bacterium GAS479. Its description in RNAcentral is "TPP riboswitch aptamer (THI element)". It matches the Rfam family "TPP riboswitch aptamer (THI element)". From Rfam's summary of the family: Vitamin B(1) in its active form thiamin pyrophosphate (TPP) is an essential coenzyme that is synthesised by coupling of pyrimidine and thiazole moieties in bacteria. RNAcentral also lists the same sequence under 1 other name. The record is from Rfam by way of RNAcentral. Lineage: Bacteria; Bacillati; Bacillota; Bacilli; Caryophanales; Paenibacillaceae.